RNAcentral lists this ribosomal RNA (466 nucleotides) under uncultured bacterium. RNAcentral describes it as "partial 16S ribosomal RNA". It matches the Rfam family "Bacterial small subunit ribosomal RNA", at positions 28 to 507 of the family's 1533-position model. The record is from RNAcentral.
GAUGAACGCUGGCGGCGUGCUUAACACAUGCAAGUCGAACGAUGAAGCCCAGCUUGCUGGGUGGAUUAGUGGCGAACGGGUGAGUAACACGUGAGUAACCUGCCCUUAACUCUGGGAUAAGCCUGGGAAACUGGGUCUAAUACCGGAUAGGAGCGUCCACCGCAUGGUGGGUGUUGGAAAGAUUUAUCGGUUUUGGAUGGACUCGCGGCCUAUCAGCUUGUUGGUGAGGUAAUGGCUCACCAAGGCGACGACGGGUAGCCGGCCUGAGAGGGUGACCGGCCACACUGGGACUGAGAAACGGCCAAGAGUCCUACGGGAGGAAGCAGUGGGGAAUAUUGCACAGUGGGCGCAAGCCUGAUGCAGCGACGCCGCGUGAGGGAUGACGGCCUUCGGGUUGUAACCCUCUUUCAGUAGGGAAGAAGCGAAAGUGACGGUACCUGCAGAAGAAGCACCGGCUAACUACGUG